AUACGGGGGGGGCGAGCGUUAUUCGGAAUUAUUGGGCGUAAAGGGCGCGUAGGCGGCCUGUCAAGUCAAAGGUGAAAUCCCUCGGCUCAACCGAGGAACUGCCUUUGAUACUGUCAGGCUUGAGGCCGGGAGGGGGUGGCGGAAUUCCCAGUGUAGCGGUGAAAUGCGUAGAUAUUGGGAGGAACACCGGUGGCGAAGGCGGCCACCUGGACUGAGACUGACGCUGAGGUGCGAAAGCGUGGGGAGCAAACAGGAUUAGAAACCCUAGUAGUCC
This 274-nucleotide ribosomal RNA is filed under the name uncultured bacterium. Its description in RNAcentral is "partial 16S ribosomal RNA". It matches the Rfam family "Bacterial small subunit ribosomal RNA", at positions 523 to 796 of the family's 1533-position model. The record is from RNAcentral.